AGAACGAACGCUGGCGGCGGCCUAACACAUGCAAGUCGAACGCUCGUAGCAAUACGAGAGUGGCAGACGGGUGAGUAACACGUGGGAACCUUCCCUAUGGUUCGGAAUAGCUCAGGGAAACUUGGGGUAAUACCGGAUAAGCCCUUCGGGGGAAAGAUUUAUCGCCAUUGGAUGGGCCCGCGUAGGAUUAGCUAGUUGGUGAGGUAACGGCUCACCAAGGCGACAUCCUUAGCUGGUCUGAGAGGAUGAUCAGCCACACUGGGACUGAGACACGGCCCAGACUCCUACGGGAGGCAGCAGUGGGGAAUAUUGGGACAAUGGGCGCAAGCCUGAUCCAGCCAUGCCGCGUGAGUGACGAAGGUCUUCGGAUUGUAAACUCUUUUGGCGGGACGAUAAUGGACGGUACCCGCAGAAUAACGCCCCGGUCUAACCUUCGUCGCCAGCAGCCGC
Molecule: ribosomal RNA, 450 nt
Filed under: uncultured soil bacterium
Lineage: Bacteria
Description: bacterial SSU rRNA
Rfam family: Bacterial small subunit ribosomal RNA
Source: RNAcentral